GACAAAAAAAUUGGAGAAAAGAGACGCAUGUUCGCGUGUGUAAAAGAAAUAGGGCGCCCCUCCUCUAUGUGCAACUUUUCUUAUUUUGUUCUCUCUUUCUAUUUGAAUUUGAUUCAAACUAAGAAGGAGAUAAUGUCUAAAAGAAAAGGUUUUUAGAUCUUAAUUUUUUGUGAUAAAAUUUUGGAAAGAGAAGGGGUGUGCGCUAUUUUAGUUGGGAGUCUCCUUUCUUGCCACACAACCUAAUCUCAACGCAUCUAAUCCCUCCAUUUGGAUUUGAAUGCCUAAGAUCAAAUGAGAUCUUAUUUAUUAGGGUGUUAAGAAGAGGUUAGGCAUGAGAUUACAAAGAUGUGUGCAACAAAAAAUAAAGGUGGUGUGAGGUUUUUGGCAUGAAGGAGCGGAUGGCUUCUUUAGGACACAAAACAAUCUCAACACCCCUACUUGCUUUCUUCCUUACAUCUCCAACGCCCA
This 468-nucleotide long non-coding RNA is filed under the name Elaeis guineensis (African oil palm). Its description in RNAcentral is "long non-coding RNA (EGUI_LNC076359)". Lineage: Eukaryota; Viridiplantae; Streptophyta; Magnoliopsida; Arecales; Arecaceae. The record is from RNAcentral.